RNAcentral lists this ribosomal RNA (253 nucleotides) under uncultured bacterium. RNAcentral describes it as "partial 16S ribosomal RNA". It matches the Rfam family "Bacterial small subunit ribosomal RNA", at positions 524 to 776 of the family's 1533-position model. The record is from RNAcentral.
UACGUAGGGUGCAAGCGUUAAUCGGAAUUACUGGGCGUAAAGCGUGCGCAGGCGGUUUUGUAAGUCUGACGUGAAAUCCCCGGGCUCAACCUGGGAAUUGCAAUGGAGACUGCAAGGCUAGAGUGUGGCAGAGGGGGGUAGAAUUCCACGUGUAGCAGUGAAAUGCGUAGAUAUGUGGAGGAACACCGAUGGCGAAGGCAGCCCCCUGGGUUAAGACUGACGCUCAUGCACGAAAGCGUGGGGAGCAAACAGG